GAGAGAGCGUGAGGAAAAUCGGAGAGAACGAGUGGUGGCUAAUAAGCAGGGAAAAGAGUAGAAGAGUUGAUUUUGCAGUUGAAAAACAUAAUUUACCUGUUCGGGAACUGACAGGGAUUUUAUGAGAACUAAGCCACACCGGUUGUAGUCAGUUUUUUUUGGUGUUGAAGCUCGGUCGGAGCGAGGAUUGGUCUUCAGCGUGCCUGCAUGUGCAUAGACGGGAUUCAAGAUGGCGAGCCAGGCCCAGACCUUGAAUUUAUCUUCUCCAUUGCACCAGUGAGGAAAUCUCCUGCGUAUGGUGACUCGCUGCCAGAGUGGUAGGAGUGUCAGGAAAUAUUUUUGAACGGAACUGGGAAAUGAUUGAAUUAUUAUUUUUGGACUGAAGCGAACAAACUUUUAAUUGAACUGAAUAAUUGAACUCACAUUUGGACUUGAACUUGAAUUUAAGGUGUUAUACUUUUAUUUUCAUAUUGGGUUCAUAUUUUUGAAUGUGAUCUGAAAUGAUUGUGGUCCACUUUGAUUUGAUUGUGUAAUUGAAGGUAUUGUUUUACCCUUAAAAGAAAGGAAGAAAUUAGUUAACUCAGGAAGAAAAAUAGGAAUUCUAAAUUAGGUGCAACCUAGGAAAAAGAGACUGGUCUAACUUAGAUUAGUUUGACUAAAAUAACUUAAAGAGAGUGAAAUACCCUUUCAUUUAUUAUACUUACCUCAAUAUUAAGAACCUGCAGGGUAUUUUUGUUUUGUGUACUGUAUUUUAUAAGUGUGUUUUGUGUUCAGUAAAUUGCCAGCCUUUUGAAUUUAAAGCAACAGUCUCUGGUGUAAUUAUUUUCUGCUCCCCACUCCUUAGAACCUAGAACUGGUCCAGUGGCGCAGUAAGUGGUGUGAUACCGGUGCUACACAGUUCUAUCCUUCCCCACCUAAACCAUCCUGGUCUAGAGGCUGCUUUGAAACAUCCCAAGGUCAUCAUUGUUCAUGAAGCAGGCUUCAGCCUUGCCAAAACUCAACACCCUGGGUGCAAUAUCAACAGCAAAAGAGCAACAGUCCGGACAAUGUAUGGGAAUAUCUUGAUGUGUGCAGCCAUAUCAGAAGAUAGGGUGGUAGGAUGUACACCCUUCUUGGUUCCUGCACAACUCAUUGAGUUCUUCAAAAACGUUGAGCCAUUGUAUCAAGGUAAGGAGGUCACCUACUGUGGGACAAAGAAGUAUUUAGUCAGCCACCAAUUGUGCAAGUUCUCCCACUU
Esox lucius (northern pike) is the source of this 1237-nucleotide long non-coding RNA. Lineage: Eukaryota; Metazoa; Chordata; Actinopteri; Esociformes; Esocidae. The record is from Ensembl.